RNAcentral lists this transfer RNA (63 nucleotides) under Ridgeia piscesae. RNAcentral describes it as "tRNA-Cys". The record is from RNAcentral. Lineage: Eukaryota; Metazoa; Annelida; Polychaeta; Sabellida; Siboglinidae.
AACCUUAUAGUUGAAUCUACAACAUUAAAUUGCAGCUUUAAAAGUGUAUCCUUACUAAGGUUU